CGAGCGGACAGAUGGGAGCUUGCUCCCUGAUGUUAGCGGCGGACGGGUGAGUAACACGUGGGUAACCUGCCUGUAAGACUGGGAUAACUCCGGGAAACCGGGGCUAAUACCGGAUGGUUGUCUGAACCGCAUGGUUCAGACAUAAAAGGUGGCUUCGGCUACCACUUACAGAUGGACCCGCGGCGCAUUAGCUAGUUGGUGAGGUAACGGCUCACCAAGGCGACGAUGCGUAGCCGACCUGAGAGGGUGAUCGGCCACACUGGGACUGAGACACGGCCCAGACUCCUACGGGAGGCAGCAGUAGGGAAUCUUCCGCAAUGGACGAAAGUCUGACGGAGCAACGCCGCGUGAGUGAUGAAGGUUUUCGGAUCGUAAAGCUCUGUUGUUAGGGAAGAACAAGUGCCGUUCAAAUAGGGCGGCACCUUGACGGUACCUAACCAGAAAGCCACGGCUAACUACGUGCCAGCAGCCGCGGUAAUACGUAGGUGGCAAGCGUUGUCCGGAAUUAUUGGGCGUAAAGGGCUCGCAGGCGGUUUCUUAAGUCUGAUGUGAAAGCCCCCGGCUCAACCGGGGAGGGUCAUUGGAAACUGGGGAACUUGAGUGCAGAAGAGGAGAGUGGAAUUCCACGUGUAGCGGUGAAAUGCGUAGAGAUGUGGAGGAACACCAGUGGCGAAGGCGACUCUCUGGUCUGUAACUGACGCUGAGGAGCGAAAGCGUGGGGAGCGAACAGGAUUAGAUACCCUGGUAGUCCACGCCGUAAACGAUGAGUGCUAAGUGUUAGGGGGUUUCCGCCCCUUAGUGCUGCAGCUAACGCAUUAAGCACUCCGCCUGGGGAGUACGGUCGCAAGACUGAAACUCAAAGGAAUUGACGGGGGCCCGCACAAGCGGUGGAGCAUGUGGUUUAAUUCGAAGCAACGCGAAGAACCUUACCAGGUCUUGACAUCCUCUGACAAUCCUAGAGAUAGGACGUCCCCUUCGGGGGCAGAGUGACAGGUGGUGCAUGGUUGUCGUCAGCUCGUGUCGUGAGAUGUUGGGUUAAGUCCCGCAACGAGCGCAACCCUUGAUCUUAGUUGCCAGCAUUCAGUUGGGCACUCUAAGGUGACUGCCGGUGACAAACCGGAGGAAGGUGGGGAUGACGUCAAAUCAUCAUGCCCCUUAUGACCUGGGCUACACACGUGCUACAAUGGACAGAACAAAGGGCAGCGAAACCGCGAGGUUAAGCCAAUCCCACAAAUCUGUUCUCAGUUCGGAUCGCAGUCU
This 1260-nucleotide ribosomal RNA is filed under the name Bacillus siamensis. Its description in RNAcentral is "bacterial SSU rRNA". It matches the Rfam family "Bacterial small subunit ribosomal RNA", at positions 63 to 1306 of the family's 1533-position model. Lineage: Bacteria; Bacillati; Bacillota; Bacilli; Caryophanales; Bacillaceae. The record is from RNAcentral.